RNAcentral lists this ribosomal RNA (2514 nucleotides) under Staphylococcus aureus. RNAcentral describes it as "bacterial LSU rRNA". It matches the Rfam family "Bacterial large subunit ribosomal RNA", at positions 310 to 2830 of the family's 2925-position model. The record is from RNAcentral. Lineage: Bacteria; Bacillati; Bacillota; Bacilli; Caryophanales; Staphylococcaceae. RNAcentral also lists the same sequence under 1 other name.
CGGAGUUACAAAGGACGACAUUAGACGAAUCAUCUGGAAAGAUGAAUCAAAGAAGGUAAUAAUCCUGUAGUCGAAAAUGUUGUCUCUCUUGAGUGGAUCCUGAGUACGACGGAGCACGUGAAAUUCCGUCGGAAUCUGGGAGGACCAUCUCCUAAGGCUAAAUACUCUCUAGUGACCGAUAGUGAACCAGUACCGUGAGGGAAAGGUGAAAAGCACCCCGGAAGGGGAGUGAAAUAGAACCUGAAACCGUGUGCUUACAAGUAGUCAGAGCCCGUUAAUGGGUGAUGGCGUGCCUUUUGUAGAAUGAACCGGCGAGUUACGAUUUGAUGCAAGGUUAAGCAGUAAAUGUGGAGCCGUAGCGAAAGCGAGUCUGAAUAGGGCGUUUAGUAUUUGGUCGUAGACCCGAAACCAGGUGAUCUACCCUUGGUCAGGUUGAAGUUCAGGUAACACUGAAUGGAGGACCGAACCGACUUACGUUGAAAAGUGAGCGGAUGAACUGAGGGUAGCGGAGAAAUUCCAAUCGAACCUGGAGAUAGCUGGUUCUCUCCGAAAUAGCUUUAGGGCUAGCCUCAAGUGAUGAUUAUUGGAGGUAGAGCACUGUUUGGACGAGGGGCCCCUCUCGGGUUACCGAAUUCAGACAAACUCCGAAUGCCAAUUAAUUUAACUUGGGAGUCAGAACAUGGGUGAUAAGGUCCGUGUUCGAAAGGGAAACAGCCCAGACCACCAGCUAAGGUCCCAAAAUAUAUGUUAAGUGGAAAAGGAUGUGGCGUUGCCCAGACAACUAGGAUGUUGGCUUAGAAGCAGCCAUCAUUUAAAGAGUGCGUAAUAGCUCACUAGUCGAGUGACACUGCGCCGAAAAUGUACCGGGGCUAAACAUAUUACCGAAGCUGUGGAUUGUCCUUUGGACAAUGGUAGGAGAGCGUUCUAAGGGCGUUGAAGCAUGAUCGUAAGGACAUGUGGAGCGCUUAGAAGUGAGAAUGCCGGUGUGAGUAGCGAAAGACGGGUGAGAAUCCCGUCCACCGAUUGACUAAGGUUUCCAGAGGAAGGCUCGUCCGCUCUGGGUUAGUCGGGUCCUAAGCUGAGGCCGACAGGCGUAGGCGAUGGAUAACAGGUUGAUAUUCCUGUACCACCUAUAAUCGUUUUAAUCGAUGGGGGGACGCAGUAGGAUAGGCGAAGCGUGCGAUUGGAUUGCACGUCUAAGCAGUAAGGCUGAGUAUUAGGCAAAUCCGGUACUCGUUAAGGCUGAGCUGUGAUGGGGAGAAGACAUUGUGUCUUCGAGUCGUUGAUUUCACACUGCCGAGAAAAGCCUCUAGAUAGAAAAUAGGUGCCCGUACCGCAAACCGACACAGGUAGUCAAGAUGAGAAUUCUAAGGUGAGCGAGCGAACUCUCGUUAAGGAACUCGGCAAAAUGACCCCGUAACUUCGGGAGAAGGGGUGCUCUUUAGGGUUAACGCCCAGAAGAGCCGCAGUGAAUAGGCCCAAGCGACUGUUUAUCAAAAACACAGGUCUCUGCUAAACCGUAAGGUGAUGUAUAGGGGCUGACGCCUGCCCGGUGCUGGAAGGUUAAGAGGAGUGGUUAGCUUCUGCGAAGCUACGAAUCGAAGCCCCAGUAAACGGCGGCCGUAACUAUAACGGUCCUAAGGUAGCGAAAUUCCUUGUCGGGUAAGUUCCGACCCGCACGAAAGGCGUAACGAUUUGGGCACUGUCUCAACGAGAGACUCGGUGAAAUCAUAGUACCUGUGAAGAUGCAGGUUACCCGCGACAGGACGGAAAGACCCCGUGGAGCUUUACUGUAGCCUGAUAUUGAAAUUCGGCACAGCUUGUACAGGAUAGGUAGGAGCCUUUGAAACGUGAGCGCUAGCUUACGUGGAGGCGCUGGUGGGAUACUACCCUAGCUGUGUUGGCUUUCUAACCCGCACCACUUAUCGUGGUGGGAGACAGUGUCAGGCGGGCAGUUUGACUGGGGCGGUCGCCUCCUAAAAGGUAACGGAGGCGCUCAAAGGUUCCCUCAGAAUGGUUGGAAAUCAUUCAUAGAGUGUAAAGGCAUAAGGGAGCUUGACUGCGAGACCUACAAGUCGAGCAGGGUCGAAAGACGGACUUAGUGAUCCGGUGGUUCCGCAUGGAAGGGCCAUCGCUCAACGGAUAAAAGCUACCCCGGGGAUAACAGGCUUAUCUCCCCCAAGAGUUCACAUCGACGGGGAGGUUUGGCACCUCGAUGUCGGCUCAUCGCAUCCUGGGGCUGUAGUCGGUCCCAAGGGUUGGGCUGUUCGCCCAUUAAAGCGGUACGCGAGCUGGGUUCAGAACGUCGUGAGACAGUUCGGUCCCUAUCCGUCGUGGGCGUAGGAAAUUUGAGAGGAGCUGUCCUUAGUACGAGAGGACCGGGAUGGACAUACCUCUGGUGUACCAGUUGUCGUGCCAACGGCAUAGCUGGGUAGCUAUGUGUGGACGGGAUAAGUGCUGAAAGCAUCUAAGCAUGAAGCCCCCCUCAAGAUGAGAUUUCCCAACUUCGGUUAU